CCUUAGGGUCGUAAAGCUCUUUCACCUGUGAUGAUAAUGACUGUAUCAGGUAAAGAAACCCCGGCUAACUCCGUGCCAGCCGCCGCGGUAAUACGGAGGGGGUUAGCGUUGUUCGGAAUUACUGGGCGUAAAGCGCGCGUCGCGCACAUUUAAGUCAGAGGUGAAAUCCCAGGGCUCAACCCUGGAACUGCCUUUGAUACUGGGUGUCUUGACUUCA
This 217-nucleotide ribosomal RNA is filed under the name uncultured Marivita sp. RNAcentral's name for it is "partial 16S ribosomal RNA". It matches the Rfam family "Bacterial small subunit ribosomal RNA", at positions 415 to 650 of the family's 1533-position model. Lineage: Bacteria; Pseudomonadati; Pseudomonadota; Alphaproteobacteria; Rhodobacterales; Roseobacteraceae. The record is from RNAcentral.